ACGAACGCUGGCGGCGUGCCUAAUACAUGCAAGUCGAACGCAUUUUCUUUCACCGUAGCUUGCUACACCGAAAGAAAAUGAGUGGCGAACGGGUGAGUAACACGUGGGUAACCUGCCCAUCAGCGGGGGAUAACACUUGGAAACAGGUGCUAAUACCGCAUAAUUCCAUUUACCGCAUGGUAAAUGGAUGAAAGGCGCUUUUGCGUCACUGAUGGAUGGACCCGCGGUGCAUUAGCUAGUUGGUGGGGUAACGGCCUACCAAGGCUGCGAUGCAUAGCCGACCUGAGAGGGUGAUCGGCCACACUGGGACUGAGACACGGCCCAGACUCCUACGGGAGGCAGCAGUAGGGAAUCUUCGGCAAUGGACGCAAGUCUGACCGAGCAACGCCGCGUGAGUGAAGAAGGUUUUCGGAUCGUAAAACUCUGUUGUUAGAGAAGAACAAGGAUGAGAGUGGAAAGUUCAUCCCUUGACGGUAUCUAACCAGAAAGCCACAGCUAACUACGUG
RNAcentral lists this ribosomal RNA (506 nucleotides) under uncultured bacterium. RNAcentral's name for it is "partial 16S ribosomal RNA". It matches the Rfam family "Bacterial small subunit ribosomal RNA", at positions 29 to 507 of the family's 1533-position model. The record is from RNAcentral.